UUCGGAUCGUAAAGCUCUGUUGCAGGAGAAAAACGGCAGAUAUAGGAAAUGAUAUCUGAGUGAUGGUAACCUGCCAGAAAGUCACGGCUAACUACGUGCCAGCAGCCGCGGUAAUACGUAGGUGGCGAGCGUUAUCCGGAAUGAUUGGGCGUAAAGGGUGCGUAGGUGGCCUUAUAAGUCUGGAGUGAAAGGCGGCAGCUCAACUGCCGUAUGCUCUGGAAACUGUGAGGCUGGAGUGCAGGAGAGGGCGAUGGAACUCCAUGUGUAGCGGUAAAAUGCGUAGAUAUAUGGAAGAACACCAGUGGCGAAGGCGGUCGCCUGGCCUGUAACUGACACUGAAGCACGAAAGCGUGGGGAGCAAAUAGGAUUAGAUACCCUAGUAGUCCACGCCGUAAACGAUGAGAACUAGGUGUUGGGGGAAUAACUCAGUGCCGCAGUUAACGCAGUAAGUUCUCCGCCUGGGGAGUAUGCACGCAAGUGUGAAACUCAAAGGAAUUGACGGGGGCCCGCACAAGCGGUGGAGUAUGUGGUUUAAUUCGAAGCAACGCGAAGAACCUUACCAGGCCUUGACAUCCCCUGCAAAGACAUGGAGACAUGUUGGAGGGUAUCAGGGAGACAGGUGGUGCAUGGUUGUCGUCAGCUCGUGUCGUGAGAUGUUGGGUUAAGUCCCGCAACGAGCGCAACCCCUGUGAUAUGUUACCAGUAUCAAGUUAGGGACUCAUAUCAGACUGCCGGUGACAAACCGGAGGAAGGUGGGGAUGACGUCAAAUCAUCAUGCCCCUUAUGGCCUGGGCUACACACGUACUACAAUGGCAUCUACAAAGAGCAGCGGCACUGUGAAGUGGAGCGAAUCUCAUAAAGGAUGUCUCAGUUCGGAUUGAAGUCUGCAACCCGACUUCAUGAAGUUGGAAUCGCUAGUAAU
RNAcentral lists this ribosomal RNA (922 nucleotides) under uncultured bacterium. RNAcentral describes it as "bacterial SSU rRNA". It matches the Rfam family "Bacterial small subunit ribosomal RNA", at positions 417 to 1342 of the family's 1533-position model. The record is from RNAcentral.